This 472-nucleotide ribosomal RNA is filed under the name uncultured bacterium. RNAcentral describes it as "partial 16S ribosomal RNA". It matches the Rfam family "Bacterial small subunit ribosomal RNA", at positions 28 to 507 of the family's 1533-position model. The record is from RNAcentral.
GACGAACGCUGGCGGCGUGCUUAACACAUGCAAGUCGAGCGGAAAGGCCCUUCGGGGUCCUCGAGCGGCGAACGGGUGAGUAACACGUGAGUAAUCUGCCCUUGGCUUUGGGAUAACUACCGGAAACGGUGGCUAAUACCGGAUACGACCACCGUCUGCAUGGGCUGGUUGUGGAAAGUUUUUUCGGCCAGGGAUGUGCUCGCGGCCUAUCAGCUUGUUGGUGGGGUAAUGGCCUACCAAGGCUUCGACGGGUAGCCGGCCUGAGAGGGUGACCGGCCACACUGGGACUGAGACACGGCCGAGACUCCUACGGGAGGCAGCAGUGGGGAAUAUUGGACAAUGGGCGGAAGCCUGAUCCAGCAACGCCGCGUGAGGGAUGACGGCCUUCGGGUUGUAAACCUCUUGCAGUACCGACGAAGCGCCGAUGAUGGUGGUGACGGUAGGUACAGAAGAAGCACCGGCCAACUACGUG